UGAAUGGAAGUAAAAGAAGUUGCAGUGAAGCUCAAGCUCGUUGGGAACAACUGUCCCUAGUAAAGUGAAAUAUAGGUUGUCGGCUAAUAGUUUGGAACACAAAGCAAAUUAUUGGUAAUAACUUCAAAUUUUGUAUAAAAUUUUUAAGUUGGUAUUGGUGAUGGUGAGGGAAGGAAUUCUGAAGGUUGAGAGAGGUGGUAUAACUUGAAAAAGUAUAUGCUUUGAGAUCUAAAAAAAAUAAUGUCAUUUUUGUCAUGCAGGCAGUCCCCGGAUUAAGAAGGAGCUCCGUUCCUAAAUCUGUCUUUACGUUGAAUUUGUACAUAAGCCGGAACAGUUAGGUCUUUGUUGUAAGAGGGAUCCCGGAAGCAUCAGACUACUCCACCAUCUUGGCCCCGCCUCACCCCAGAGCAACCUUAGAAAUUGUUUCAGAGAUGGCAAGACAGUUGUCAGCCUGGGUCCCUGGAUCACUGCAUUGAGGAGGCCCACCUCAGUGACAGACCUUUCACCUGUCCAGUAUGUGUACAGGAGCUAGGAGUAAACUUUUAUUUUGAGCUUGAGCCAUUAUCUGUGUUUGGGUCUAUUUCUUAAGCACUUAGCCAACUUUAACAAAUACACUCGAGCAGUGACUUAGUAAUUGAAGUCGUGGGUCUGUUGGCCUAAUGCAUUCAUUCCUUUUUUUGUCUCUGGCAGUUGGUGAUUGAUUGAUCAUGGUCCAGCAUGCAGAAGUGAGUGAGUGGUGAAAAGCAGGAGAGCUGAUGGAUUGUGAAGAUGUGUUUGAAGGCUGUCACACUGUCUACUUCAGGGUAAGGCAAAGGCAGUGGCUGCCACUGUUACUCUGACUUUGCCAGGUCAUAGGGACUCUUGUCUCUCCAGCCUCUUGGAGUUAGUGCAAUGGGAUACCCUGCCUGUGAAAGGUUCCCAAAGCCUCUGUUGAUUCAACUCAUAGACACCAUGCUUAUGAAUAAUUGUGAAGAGAAAACCAUUAGGUUUUGGGUGAUAGGAUGGAAUUCGUUAUGUGGGUGGAAAUAUCUCAGGCAUCAUUAGGGAUUUAUUGACAUGAGACAUGAUUUUCCUAGAACCAGGGAAGGGUUGUUGGGCCUUCCUGAGGUGUGUUGUCGAGAAUGGAACCAGGUCUGAUUGCCUUUUUCAUGUACCAUAUCAGGUUGUUAGCUCUGCCAGCUCACAUUCCCUCAACCACCAUCCUCCUUCUCCGUGGAUCACUUUCCUUAGCUGUUCUUUUGUUAAUUACUUUUUCUAUAAAGGAAACAGCUUGCCAAAGAGUUGAGGAUUCCAGGUUUGGUGGAUAAUAGCAUUAGCAAAGCACGUGGUUCUGCCAGUUCCACUUUAUCCUUCAUCAGUGGCAGUCACAUGUCCAUUUACUCAUCUAUUUACAGUUCCUAGUGAAUCAGGCAAGGAGCCCUGGUGGCGCAAAGAUUAAGCACUUGGCUGCUAACCAUAAGGUUGGCAGUUCAAACCCACACACCAGCUGGGAGAAAGACCUGGGAAUCUGAUGGCACCUAACAACAGUGAAUCAGGCAUUGGCAUUGGGAGCAUUAUGACCAAGGCUGCCUUUGAGCUCUCAUUCGUGCUGAAGAGUUUUGAGGCCAGAAGGACAAAGUCACUGUUUGGCGUACCCUUCUGAGAGUCCAGGUGGAAGUCUUGGAAGAAGGAGUAGAAAAGAUACCACAUCUCUUUUUGAGCUCUCCAGCUUCUGCAGCUUGAACUGAAAGUAGACUCCUUGAAGAGAAAAUUACAACUAAUAGAAAUCUAGGCAGAGCCAAGGAUGGUUAGGAAAGAGGGACAGGGAGUGAAAAAUUAAAAAAGAAAAAUUGUAUUCAGCUUAAAAACUGGUUGGAGUGUUGUUUUCAGCUUACGAUAGUAAUUUGGAGCCCUUAGUAGAUAAUGUCCCAUUGCCCAGCCUCAGACAGAGGGCAGCCAGAAAGGCUGAUGUCCUUAGAUGCCUCACAUGGCUUGGUAAUGAAUGUAAUUUAC
Long non-coding RNA from Loxodonta africana (African savanna elephant), 1992 nucleotides. RefSeq lists it as uncharacterized. The transcript has 2 exons. NCBI's taxonomy places the organism in Eukaryota, Metazoa, Chordata, Mammalia, Proboscidea, Elephantidae. The record is from RefSeq and is a predicted model, not a curated record.